GGGUCCACAGCACUGAUAAGA
Molecule: unclassified non-coding RNA, 21 nt
Filed under: Mus musculus (house mouse)
Lineage: Eukaryota; Metazoa; Chordata; Mammalia; Rodentia; Muridae
Description: oocyte_clustered_small_RNA13386
Source: RNAcentral